UACGUAGGGUGCGAGCGUCGUCCCGGAAUUAUUGGGCGUAAAGAGCUCGUAGGCGGUUUGUCGCGUCUGCUGUGAAAACCCGAGGCUCAACCUCGGCCUGCAGUGGGUACGGGCAGACUAGAGUGCGGUAGGGAGAUUGGAAUUCCUGGUGUAGCGGUGGAAUGCGCAGAUAUCAGGAGGAACACCAAUGGCGAAGGCAGAUCUCUGGGCCGUAACUGACGCUGAGGAGCGAAAGCAUGGGAGCGAACAGG
This 251-nucleotide ribosomal RNA is filed under the name uncultured bacterium. RNAcentral's name for it is "partial 16S ribosomal RNA". It matches the Rfam family "Bacterial small subunit ribosomal RNA", at positions 524 to 776 of the family's 1533-position model. The record is from RNAcentral.